UAAGCAAGUGAUGUUAAUGAGGAUAAAGGAGAAGAGCAUCAUUCAGGAAAAUGGAGUUUCCUGGGAAGCCCUUACAGUCUGGAGUCAUGAGCCCACCAGAAACUGGGGUUGCAGGUACCAUGUAGCUGCUGGUGACUGGAAACGACUGUCCUUCUGGAGGUCCCAUUCCUUGCAGGUUUGUGGUCUUAUUUUUGUAAAAACUGCUUUCUGAGACACUUCAAAAAUCACCAUUUAACCAAACUGGUGAACCCAUGUGGCUUUGAGGAUUUUCCCCACCAAAUCUGUUGGUCUUGCCCCUUCUCUGUGUUGUGCAUGAAUGCCAGCAUUGGCCCUCUCCUGUACCUGGGGUUGAGUGCACAGUAAGUGAGGAAGGACUCUUGCCUAUUCUAAUUCUUUUGGGCGGAAGGGAGGAAGUGGUAGAUACCAAUCUCUCUCUCUUGCACGUCCUUCCACGCACAUCUUGCUGGUGGCCACCCAAACUGUCCCCUAGAGAUGCUGCUCUACCGUGACUAAUUUCCUGGCUUUUAUUUUGAAAAUGCAGUCAUCAAAGUUGCGCAGAUCAGCUGGGGCAAGUUUCAGCCUCUUCUGUAUAUGAAAACCUAGAAAGCAUAUUUCUGGGAAGAGGUGUUGGAGAUAGGUUGGGUUUUUUUGUGUUGUUUUUUUUUUUUUUUGGGGGGGGGGGUGUGAUUUGAAGAGAGGGAGGGCAGUGGUGAAUGUUGAGGAUUUUAAUAAUUUAAUUGGCGUACCUUGAUUUCAAAAUCACAUCUAAGUGCAUUGGAAGUAGUAGAUGCAAACUCUGCUGGGUAUGAAGACUAACCAAGGCUGUAAUCAUUAAAAAUUUGUACUGUUAAUUGUAAUGCUGUGAAAGCUCUGAGUCUGAUUGGCAAGAUGAUCCACCUGUGUAAUAAACAUUGCCAUGCCUUUCCUCUGCUGUUUAUACAAAUAUUUUUGUUGGUAGUAUUUUGUGGACAGCACUACUUAUUGUGACUAUGUGUGUUAGACAUAACUCUGUUGGUU
RNAcentral lists this long non-coding RNA (1017 nucleotides) under Accipiter nisus (Eurasian sparrowhawk). RNAcentral describes it as "lncRNA (ENSANIG00000011895.1)". The record is from RNAcentral. Lineage: Eukaryota; Metazoa; Chordata; Aves; Accipitriformes; Accipitridae.